GGCGGGCCACCGCGUGGAGGCCUCUGUUGGGCGCGGAGAAGCUGAGCGUGCCGCCCAGCUCCCACCCAUUAUGCGGCGCUGGCGCUCUUGAGACAGCCUGCGGUGUCCCCGAAGGGGGGACACGUGGAUAAAGAUGUACACGCAAAGACACCCUUGAAUUAUGAGCGGACUCCAUGGCCAAAGGAUGACCCGCAGUUCACAGGGAAUCGGUGUGAAUGUCAGUGAUCACAAACCCAAAGAGCUGGAGUUUGGGGGAUCCUUUUUUACGUUUAUGUGUGCGUGGGAACACGUGGAAGUCCGACCAUAGUGCAGGAGCCGGUUCUCUCCUUUCACCGUGUGGCUCCGGGAACCAAAUUCGGCUCUUCAGUGUUAGCGCGCUGAGCCCAAGAACUGGAGGAGAUACUGGUUUAGCUAGACAAACAAGUUUGAGAACCCUUGGGCAACAUCUGUAUGCUUCAAAAAAUAAGCCGAAUAAACUGCAACUGCCACUAGUCGGCGCUGUUAAUACGAUAGUCAAAACCGAAAAGUAAAAGGCAUUUGUCCAUUCAUGCUAGUCACUUGAU
RNAcentral lists this long non-coding RNA (563 nucleotides) under Cricetulus griseus (Chinese hamster). RNAcentral's name for it is "lncRNA (ENSCGRG00000025121.1)". Lineage: Eukaryota; Metazoa; Chordata; Mammalia; Rodentia; Cricetidae. The record is from RNAcentral.